Long non-coding RNA from Capsicum annuum, 285 nucleotides. RefSeq lists it as uncharacterized. The record is from RefSeq and is a predicted model, not a curated record. Lineage: Eukaryota; Viridiplantae; Streptophyta; Magnoliopsida; Solanales; Solanaceae. The transcript is spliced from 3 exons.
CACACACUGUUUCUCUUUUCUUUUUUUUCUCCUUUACACCUGUGGCUCCCGUCGCUGCUUUCUCCAACCAUCAUCAUUGCUUCCUCUGACCAACACCACUGCUUUCUCCAACGAUCGCCGCCAUUGUUGGUAUGAGUGCGAUGCAAGUAUCCAGGUAUGAGCGCGAUGCACAAUAGAUGAUCUCGAGUGAUGCUUGGAGUAUUUUGAGGGUACCAAACCCAUCUCUAUUUCUCUUUAUAGGACAACCCCAGCAGAGUUGAAGGAAUUGAAGAAAUAGUUGGAAGA